Molecule: ribosomal RNA, 440 nt
Filed under: uncultured bacterium
Lineage: Bacteria
Description: partial 16S ribosomal RNA
Rfam family: Bacterial small subunit ribosomal RNA
Source: RNAcentral
CCUACGGGAGGCAGCAGUAGGGAAUAUUGCUCAAUGGGGGAAACCCUGAAGCAGCAACGCCGCGUGGAGGAUGAAGGUUUUCGGAUUGUAAACUCCUUUUGUUAGAGAAGAUAAUGACGGUAUCUAACGAAUAAGCACCGGCUUACUCCGUGCCAGCAGCCGCGGUAAUACGGAGGGUGCCAGCGUUACUCGGAAUCAUUGGGCGUAAAGAGCGAGUAGGCGGGAUAGCAAGUCAGAUGUGAAAUCCUAUGGCUUAACCAUAGAACUGCAUUUGAAACUGUUAUUCUAGAGUAUGGGAGAGGUAGGUGGAAUUCUUGGUGUAGGGGUAAAAUCCGUAGAGAUCAAGAGGAAUACUCAUUGCGAAGGCGACCUGCUAGAACAUAACUGACGCUGAUGCGCGAAAGCGUGGGGAGCGAACAGGAUUAGAUACCCCUGUAGUC